AUCUAUGUCCAUACCAUCCUGAACACACCUGAUCUUGUCUGAUUUCACAAGCUAAGCAGUGUUAGCCUGGUCAGUACUUGGGUGGGAGAAAAUAUUAUGUAUUAAUA
RNAcentral lists this ribosomal RNA (107 nucleotides) under Castor canadensis (American beaver). The record is from RNAcentral. Lineage: Eukaryota; Metazoa; Chordata; Mammalia; Rodentia; Castoridae.